GGAGGGUGCAAACGUUGUUCGGGAAUCACUGGGCGUAAAGGGCGCGCAGGCGGACCUGGUAAGUCAGGAGUGAAAACUCCGGGGGGCUCAACUCCGAGCCUGCUUCUGAAACUGCAAGUCUUGAGGGCCGGAGAGGAGAGUGGAAUUCCUAGUGUAGCGGUGGAAUGCGUAGAUAUUAGGAAGAACACCAGUGGCGAAGGCGACUCUCUGGACGGUUCCUGACGCUGAGGCGCGAAAGCUAGGGGAGCAAACAGGAUUAGAUACCCUGGUAGUCCUAGCCGUAAACGAUGAGUGCUAGGUGGUGGUGGUUUCAACGCCUUCACUGCCGGAGCUAACGCAUUAAGCACUCCGCCUGGGGAGUACGGCCGCAAGGUUG
RNAcentral lists this ribosomal RNA (376 nucleotides) under uncultured organism. RNAcentral's name for it is "partial 16S ribosomal RNA". It matches the Rfam family "Bacterial small subunit ribosomal RNA", at positions 527 to 896 of the family's 1533-position model. The record is from RNAcentral.